This 491-nucleotide ribosomal RNA is filed under the name uncultured bacterium. RNAcentral describes it as "bacterial SSU rRNA". It matches the Rfam family "Bacterial small subunit ribosomal RNA", at positions 1 to 507 of the family's 1533-position model. The record is from RNAcentral.
AUAGUCGACGUAGUUGACUCUGCUCGAGACACGCUGGCGGCGUGCUUAACACAUGCAAGUCGAACGGUGAACCAGAGCUUGCUCUGGGGAUCAGUGGCGAACGGGUGAGUAACACGUGGGCAACCUGCCCCAGACUCUGGGAUAACCUCGGGAAACCGAUACUAAUACCGGAUACGACCACUUCGGACAUCCGACGGUGGUGGAAAGUUUUUCGGUCUGGGAUGGGCCCGCGGCCUAUCAGCUAGUUGGUGGGGUAAUGGCCUACCAAGGCGACGACGGGUAGCCGGCCUGAGAGGGCGACCGGCCACACUGGAACUGAGACACGGUCCAGACUCCUACGGGAGGCAGCAGUGGGGAAUAUUGCACACUGGGCGAAAGCCUGAUGCAGCGACGCCGCGUGAGGGACGACGGCCUUCGGGUUGUAAACCUCUUUCAGCAGGGACGAAGCGAAAGUGACUGUACCUGCAGAAGAAGCACCGGCUAACUACGUG